This 253-nucleotide ribosomal RNA is filed under the name uncultured bacterium. Its description in RNAcentral is "partial 16S ribosomal RNA". It matches the Rfam family "Bacterial small subunit ribosomal RNA", at positions 524 to 776 of the family's 1533-position model. The record is from RNAcentral.
UACGAAGGGGGCUAGCGUUGUUCGGAAUUACUGGGCGUAAAGGGCGCGUAGGCUGUGCUGUAAGUCAGGCGUGAAAGGCCCGGGCUCAACCUGGGAAUGGCGCAUGAUACUGCGGCGCUGGAAGGCGGGAGAGGAUGGCGGAAUUCCCAGUGUAGAGGUGAAAUUCGUAGAUAUUGGGGAGAACACCGGUGGCGAAGGCGGCUAUCUGGCCCGUAAUUGACGCUGAGGCGCGAAAGCGUGGGGAGCAAACAGG